RNAcentral lists this ribosomal RNA (590 nucleotides) under Melophagus ovinus. RNAcentral's name for it is "SSU rRNA". It matches the Rfam family "Eukaryotic small subunit ribosomal RNA", at positions 485 to 1004 of the family's 1831-position model. The record is from RNAcentral. Lineage: Eukaryota; Metazoa; Arthropoda; Insecta; Diptera; Hippoboscidae.
CCCGUCCCAUUACGAGGACCUGUAAUUGGAUGAGUACACUUUAAAUCCUUUAACAAGGACCUAUUGGAGGGCAAGUUCUGGUGCCAGCAGCCGCGGUAACUCCAGCUCCAAUAGCGUAUAUUAAUGUUGUUGCGGUUAAAACGUUCGUAGUUGAACUUGUGCUUCAUACGGGUAGUACAACUAUAAUUUUAGAUUGUGCUAUACCUUAUGUAUGUAAGCGUAUUACCGGUGGGGUUCUUAUAUGCAAAUGUAAUACUUGUAUUCUUUUGUAUAUUCCUCCUAUUUAAACCUGCCUCAAUGCUCUUCAUCGGGUGUUGUUGCGGGCCGGUACAAUUACUUUGAACAAAUUAGAGUGCUUAAAGCAGGCUCCAAAUGCCUGAAUAUUUUGUGCAUGGAAUAAUGGAAUAAGACCUCUGUUCUACUUUCAUUGGUUUUUAGAUCAAGAGGUAAUGAUUAAUAGAAGCAGUUUGGGGGCAUUAGUAUUACGACGCGAGAGGUGAAAUUCUUGGACCGUCGUAAGACUAACUUAAGCGAAAGCAUUUGCCAAAGAUGUUUUCAUUAAUCAAGAACGAAAGUUAGGGGAUCGAAGA